RNAcentral lists this ribosomal RNA (439 nucleotides) under uncultured bacterium. RNAcentral's name for it is "partial 16S ribosomal RNA". It matches the Rfam family "Bacterial small subunit ribosomal RNA", at positions 339 to 795 of the family's 1533-position model. The record is from RNAcentral.
CUACGGGAUGCUCCAGUGGGGAAUAUUGGACAAUGGGGGCAACCCUGAUCCAGCCAUGCCGCGUGAGUGAUGAAGGCCCUAGGGUUGUAAAGCUCUUUUGUGCGGGAAGAUAAUGACGGUACCGCAAGAAUAAGCCCCGGCUAACUUCGUGCCAGCAGCCGCGGUAAUACGAAGGGGGCUAGCGUUGCUCGGAAUCACUGGGCGUAAAGGGUGCGUAGGCGGGUCUUUAAGUCAGGGGUGAAAUCCUGGAGCUCAACUCCAGAACUGCCUUUGAUACUGAAGAUCUUGAGUAUGGGAGAGGUGAGUGGAACUGCGAGUGUAGAGGUGAAAUUCGUAGAUAUUCGCAAGAACACCAGUGGCGAAGGCGGCUCACUGGCCCAUAACUGACGCUGAGGCACGAAAGCGUGGGGAGCAAACAGGAUUAGAUACCCGAGUAGUC